Molecule: ribosomal RNA, 396 nt
Filed under: uncultured bacterium
Lineage: Bacteria
Description: partial 16S ribosomal RNA
Rfam family: Bacterial small subunit ribosomal RNA
Source: RNAcentral
AUACGUAGGGAGCGAGCGUUGUCCGGAAUUACUGGGUGUAAAGGGUGCGUAGGCGGGGCUGCAAGUCAGAUGUGAAAUGUAUGGGCUCAACCCAUGAACUGCAUUUGAAACUGUGGCUCUUGAGUGAGGUAGAGGUAAGCGGAAUUCCUAGUGUAGCGGUGAAAUGCGUAGAUAUUAGGAGGAACAUCGGUGGCGAAGGCGGCUUACUGGGCCUUUACUGACGCUGAGGCACGAAAGCGUGGGGAGCAAACAGGAUUAGAUACCCUGGUAGUCCACGCUGUAAACGAUGAUGACUAGGUGUGGGGGGACUGAACCCUUCCGUGCCGCAGUUAACACAAUAAGUAUUCCACCUGGGGAGUACGGCCGCAAGGUUGAAACUUAAAGGAAUUGACGGGG